GACGAACGCUGGCGGCGUGCUUAACACAUGCAAGUCGAACGGAAAGGCCCUGCUUUUGUGGGGUGCUCGAGUGGCGAACGGGUGAGUAACACGUGAGUAACCUGCCCUUGACUUUGGGAUAACUUCAGGAAACUGGGGCUAAUACCGGAUAGGAGCUCCUGCUGCAUGGUGGGGGUUGGAAAGUUUCGGCGGUUGGGGUUGGACUCGCGGCUUAUCAGUUUGUUGGUGGGGUAGUGGCUUACCAAGGCUUUGACGGGUGGCCUGCCUGAGAGGGUGACCGGCCACAUUGGGACUGAGAUACGGCCCAGACUCCUACGGGGGGCAGCAGUGGGGAAUAUUGCACAAUGGGCGGAAGCCUGAUGCAGCAACGCCGCGUGCGGGAUGACGGCCUUCGGGUUGUAAACCGCUUUCGCCUGUGACGAAGCGUGAGUGACGGUAAUUGGUAAAGAAGCACCGGCUAACUACGUG
This 468-nucleotide ribosomal RNA is filed under the name uncultured bacterium. Its description in RNAcentral is "partial 16S ribosomal RNA". It matches the Rfam family "Bacterial small subunit ribosomal RNA", at positions 28 to 507 of the family's 1533-position model. The record is from RNAcentral.